CGUCGUAUGUUGCCAGCAUUAAGUUGGGACUCAUACGAGACUGCCGGGGUCAACUCGGAGGAAGGUGGGGAUGACGUCAAGUCAUCAUGCCCCUUAUGUCUAGGGCUGCACGCAUGCUACAAUGGAUGGUACAAAGGGCUGCAAAACCGCAAGGUAGAGCGAAUCCCAAAAAGCCAGUCUCAGUUCGUAUUGGGGUCUGCAACUCGACCCCAUGAAGUCGGAGUCGCUAGUAAUCGCAGAUCAGGAACGCUGCGGUGAAUACGUUC
This 266-nucleotide ribosomal RNA is filed under the name uncultured bacterium. RNAcentral describes it as "partial 16S small subunit ribosomal RNA". It matches the Rfam family "Bacterial small subunit ribosomal RNA", at positions 1106 to 1373 of the family's 1533-position model. The record is from RNAcentral.